UCCAGACUCCUACGGGAGGCAGCAGUGAGGAAUAUUGGUCAAUGGGCGCGAGCCUGAACCAGCCAAGUAGCGUGAAGGAUGACUGCCCUACGGGUUGUAAACUUCUUUUAUAAAGGAAUAAAGUGAGGCACGUGUGCCUUUUUGUAUGUACUUUAUGAAUAAGGAUCGGCUAACUCCGUGCCAGCAGCCGCGGUAAUACGGAGGAUCCGAGCGUUAUCCGGAUUUAUUGGGUUUAAAGGGUGCGUAGGCGGACAGUCAAGUCAGCGGUAAAAAUGCGGUGCUCAACGCCGUACAGCCGUUGAAACUGGCAGUCUUGAGUGGGCGAGAAGUAUGCGGAAUGCGUGGUGUAGCGGUGAAAUGCAUAGAUAUCACGCAGAACUCCGAUUGCGAAGGCAGCAUACCGGCGCCCUACUGACGCUGAGGCACGAAAGCGUGGGUAUCGAACAGGAUUAGAUACCCUCGUA
This 464-nucleotide ribosomal RNA is filed under the name uncultured bacterium. RNAcentral describes it as "bacterial SSU rRNA". It matches the Rfam family "Bacterial small subunit ribosomal RNA", at positions 330 to 792 of the family's 1533-position model. The record is from RNAcentral.